Molecule: ribosomal RNA, 483 nt
Filed under: uncultured bacterium
Lineage: Bacteria
Description: partial 16S ribosomal RNA
Rfam family: Bacterial small subunit ribosomal RNA
Source: RNAcentral
AUUGAACGCUGGCGGCAGGCCUAACACAUGCAAGUCGAGCGGAUGAAGGGAGCUUGCUCCUGGAUUCAGCGGCGGACGGGUGAGUAAUGCCUAGGAAUCUGCCUGGUAGUGGGGGAUAACGUCCGGAAACGGGCGCUAAUACCGCAUACGUCCUGAGGGAGAAAGUGGGGGAUCUUCGGACCUCACGCUAUCAGAUGAGCCUAGGUCGGAUUAGCUAGUUGGUGGGGUAAAGGCCUACCAAGGCGACGAUCCGUAACUGGUCUGCGAGGAUGAUCAGUAAAACUGAAAUGGGGAAACGGUCCAGCCUCCUACGGGAGGCAGCAGGGGGGAUAAUUGGACAAUGGGCGAAAGCCGGAUCCAGCCAAGCGGCGUGUGUGAAGAAGGUCUUCGGAGGGUAAAGCACUUUAAGGGGGGAGGAGGGCAGUAAGUUAAUACCUUGCUGUUUUGACGGUACCAACAGAAUAAGCACCGGCUAACUUCGUG